Camelus dromedarius (Arabian camel) is the source of this 7838-nucleotide long non-coding RNA. RefSeq lists it as uncharacterized. Lineage: Eukaryota; Metazoa; Chordata; Mammalia; Artiodactyla; Camelidae. The record is from RefSeq and is a predicted model, not a curated record. The transcript is spliced from 2 exons.
CCACGGGGGGGGGGGGGGGCUCUGUCCUCGGGGCUGGAAGGCCAGCUUCCAGCCCCGCCCAAGCCCGCCCGCCCCAGGACGCGCGCCGCAGCCCCGCGGACAGAGCGGGUCUGGUAGGCCCCCGCGCCCCGCGCCCCGCGCCCCCAGCGCCCGGGCCCCCCAUCAGUCCCGGCAGAACAGCUCCUCUCCUCUGCGCUGCUUUUCUUGGAAGCAGAGGCCGUGGGGAAGAGACUGACCAGGUGCACGUGUGUGGGGCGGAGAGCCCUGUGACUCCAGAGAGUUCCUGUCGUUGUUCCCGACCCUGGAGAAGGACCGCUUUCAUUCCGGUCUAAAGGUCACAUCCUUGCUCUGCCUUUCAGCUCAAACCCUGGUCCAGCCAAGGCCCCCAGUCUCAUCUGAAAUUAGGUAGCGGGGCAGGGACCGGGGCUGGCGCUCCCCCUGGUGGCGGUCCUCAGAACCGCCCCGCGCCCCCAAACUGAGCUCACCUCCUGGACUUAGGCUCUCGGAAGACCAAAAGCUUCUUGAAGGCAAGGCCCCUGCACCCGUUUGCCACUCACAGAACUCUGCUAGAAGCUGGGGCACUUGGCAUGGAACAAGGCAUGGCGACCCUCUACAAGCACUUACCAUCAAAGGGGGACCCGGGAUGUGCACCCGGGAGUAGAGGACAGACAUCGGAGCAGUAUUUCGGGAGCACAGAGAAGGAACGCCCCAUUCUGCACAGGGGAACCAAUCGGGAGAGGCUGCAACGGAGGAGCAGCUCUUGGCCCUGACCUAAGGAACGAGGCUGCUUCAACAGGUGGUUCCUCGGCCGUUGUGGGUGAGGGGUGAGGCCACCUGGACCUAAAACACCGCGGGAGGGAUGGAGUCAUCUUGGGCAGCGGUGGAGGCGCGAUGGGGAGCGGGCAGGUGGCUUUUCCCAUCUGCUGGAUCCCCUAGCAUCUGUACUUUUGAAAAUUGUCUCUAAGAGUCUAAGCGAUGCCUGGGUACUUAACAGAAGUACAGAGUUUUAAAAUGUUCCCAAAAACCAGAGACAAAAAACGAAACAGGAGUAAGAUGCACAGAGAUAAACACUAACUUUUUCCCCAAAGUUUCACUUCUCGUUUGCCUUGUUAGUGAAGACGGUGGCUGGUAGUUAAAUGAGUGAGUGUAAAGCUGGAAACCAAAGGCCACCACAGGCCUGGUUCACUGAGCUGAUCGCGUCUGACCCACGCCACGCACACGUUCCGGCCGCCAGCCAACACCCAGUGAACUUUCUGGCUGAAAGCGUGGUACGGGCUCUCCGGCAGAGUGGGGCUCAGAGGGUCAGCAGACCUGUGACAGGCUGGGCGUCCAACAGAGGACAGAAGAGACGCCCGCCUGGGCUCCCGGACUCUGGGUAUCCCUUGGCAUUGGCUGUGUGGUUUUGUGUGGAGAUACCUAUCCUUUCGCCCCGACACCCCCCGUGAGGGGCACCUCAGUCAGCGUGACCCGGCUCCCGCAGGAGGCGCUGCGGGCCACCCCCGCCUGGACGCAUCCUCCGCGGUGGGCACGCGAGACCUCAUGGGUCCCUUUGGUCACGGAGCAGGUCAGCAGGGGUGCAGGCAGGCCCAGAGCUACAGACAGACCCUGACCGCUCCCCCACCCCAGCCUCGCGGAACGUCAGCUCAGAAGUCGGGGUGAAGCUCCUUCUGCACUUGUCGCUUGUGCCCGUGGCGGGAGCCACACGUGGUGAGUCCCACAGGCCGACCUGGCCCUCAGUUCCUGCCCUGCUUCCCUCCCCCCGGCCGACGGGCAGGGGUUUGGCAGCAGCUUUGCCCUGGCAGUGACCUCCAUCUGGAGUCCAGGACCCAUUUUUGUCCUUGUUGGGGAAUUUGGCUGUCCCAGCACAGUGGGUUACUGAGGGACUGUGCCCUGAAUGGUCCAGUUCUCCGAAAGCCUGCUUCCAGCUGCCAGAGGACACUUUUGUGAGAAAGCUGUGUCCGUCCCCCUGGCAGGGCAAGGCGCUGAACCUGCCCACCCAGCGGACCGGCCGUGCCCUCCCUGUGCUGGCUGCGGGGCCGGGCCAGUGCCAGCAGUUCCCGGGUAGAGCCUCGGGGAGCACCGCCGACGGCUGGAUUAGCGUGAGGCUGUGCCUUCCCUUUUUGCAAGAAAAGCCUGCUCCCCAGGGUGGGGCGAGGGGAGCAGCUACCAGCCCUGACUGAAGGCUGCUGCUCCUUGCACAGGCGGCCCGUCGGCAUCUCCCAGCCAGGCGAGGGGAGGCGGCGGGGGAGCCGCAGGCCGUCCCGGGAGAGCUGUGCGCGUGGCCAGGGGCCUCCCCCACCCCGUGCCCACAGGGCUGCCAGCCUUGAGAGAAGCCCCGGUGGCCCUCCUCCGGUCGGGCGCGCAGGGAAGACCGUCUGCCCGCCUUAGCUGGGUGUGAGCUCCGGGGGCAGGUCCCCCAGCCUCCCCGCACCCUCCGGCCCCUGUGCGGCCCGGUUCCAGGUCCGACCCUGGCCAUUUCAUGGCAUGGUAGUUGGUUGGCCAGCUUCCUCUUCACGGAGGAAAGAGACCCUGCAGGGAGGGCUUGUGCCCUUUGUUUCUGUGCGUCGCCAAGAUUACUGGAUGAAAUCAAGAUGCUUGUGCUCAAAGAAACACACUUUUCCAUUCAUGCAUCAGUUCCCCUCAUUUACUCUCUACCCCCUCUGGCUCUGGUGGGCAACCUCUCCUCGCCCAGCCCUACUGCCAUUAAAAACAAUGACAUCAAAGAUCCCCUGAUGUCAGACGUUUACUCCUUAGUAUAAACUAGCCGGCAGGUCACGUCCUCUCUAAGAGAACUCAGUUUCCUGCUGACCUCUGGUCGUCCGUGUGCACCAGGUGCCCCAGCUCAGGCCCUGUACCUGUGAUGUCCUCUGUGGGAAAUGCUCGUCCCCCGGAUGCUUGCGUCGUCCCUUCCUUGCCUCCAUUGUCCUUUCAGCCUCUGCUCAGUGUCACUGUAUAUAUACACUGGCCUCCUGGGCACCGUGUUCAGAAUAGUAACUCGUGUCUCCCUCCGCACACGCUCCACCCCGGGCCGCCCUUAACGUUUGACCACAGCCCGUGCCUGACUCACAGUAUUCUCUGCCCUUUACUUGGCUAUAGCCCGUGUCCCCUUUUAGGCUGUGUGCUCCCGAGGGCAGGCACGCUCCUGUGUUUCACCUGCUGCUAAACCCCCAGUGCCUGCACGUAUGUGGCAUCUAGCAAGCAGAAAGCGACUGUUGAAUGAAUAAGUGAGUGAACUGUGGAUCCAAAGGCCCAGCUGGGAGUUUAUCUUGCUGAUGGCACGUUGCCCUCCUCGGGGGGCAACUGCUGCCCGGCCCCAGGGACAGCCCAGGGACGGGAGACUGGCUCCUUGGAGAUCCUCUCUUCCCGGAGGAUGCAAGUGGGCAGGGGCGGCAGCAACUUGGGGCAAAGCCUGGUGCUCCGGGCCCUGUCGGAGGGUGCGUACGAUGCCAGGCGGGCGGUGUGGUCUGAGGCAGACGAACCAGCACGGCCUCCCUCCCUCCUCUCCCGCGUCUGGGUGGGUUUCGCCUGGUAGGUCUCUCAGCUUUUUGAAGUCUUCCUUUUCUCAUCUGAAAAAUGAAAGCAAGGGAACCUGUCUUGCUGGGUUUCUGUGGAUGGUUGUGGAAUGGCUGCUAGGAAGCUAGAAACACACCCCUCCUGGAGCACAGGGGCACUUCCUGUCUGCAGGCCCCGUGGUGCUGGGGAGCGGGGUCCUGGCCUCCGACAGCCACAGCCACAAAAGGCACAGACGUGCCCGCUGUCUGCCCCGCGCCUCCUACCCCGAUGCUGCCCGGGGCACAUGUUCCGUGGACACUGCAACCUCGCCACCGGCAGGCCCGAGUGAUCUGCUCUCCUGGCCUCUGCUAGGCUUGGCUGGAGGCCGGGAGAGAGGAGGUACUUCCCCGUGCUUGUCGGGCUGAGGGACCAGCUCAAGACUCAAACCUCUGCUCUGACUUCUCAACAAUCCUGGCCCUUUCUGCCUCAAAAUCUCCAUAAUAUCAGAGGUUUUACAGACAACAUUUUUCAAAACAAAUGCUCCAGUAAUUUUAAUUUUUUUCCAAAGACUCUAUUAUUUGAGAGCAGGGGGAGAUCAGAGAUUCCCCUCCUCACACGGGCACGGUCCCCCCCCGCUAUCAGACUCCCCACCAGAGUGGGACCUUUGUGACAGCGGGUGAACCCACACUGACACGUCAUUAUCACCCAAAGUCCACGUGAACCUGAGGGUUCACUCUUGGUGGUGCUCAUUCUACGGGUUUGGACAAACACGGUGACAUGAAUCCACCAUUAUAGUAUCACAGAGUGCUUCCCUGCCCUAAAAGUCCCCUGGGCUCUGGCAGUUUAUUCUGAGCCCCCAGCCCCUGGCAACCACUGGUCCAGUUUUUCCUUACUUGAUAUCUGUUGAGGCUUCAUUGUUAGAGGUUAUGUGAGGAAGGAGUUUAACCAUCGCAGCCUCAGGAUCGGGUCUGGUGAGGCGUCCACCUUCAGGACAGAAGAAUUUCAGAAACGUCCUGACACCAGCUUCCCUGUAAGUAUCGGGACGCUGUCUCCAUGGCGAUGAGACUCGGCCCCUGCUCUGGGCGCUGUGGAGUGUCCUUCUCCAGCACCUGCUCCCUUCGCACCUUGGCACGUGCCCCGUCUGGGGCACAGGGAUCCCAGAUCCGUGCCCGGCUGUCUGGGCUCUUCCAUCCCUGUCCCAGCCCACUUCCUCCAAGCGGGACCUCUUUGUCUUGCUGAGCUGUUCCCAGCACAGGGCACGCUGGCUGGUGACGUGAGUGCCCCGUGGAUAAAUCUUCCAGGACAGAACAGAUGCUGCAUUCAGAUUGGCCUUUCUGAUGUGAUACACUUUCUAUCCCUGAGUUUUGAGGUCUUAUCUCAGGGUUUGUAGGACUUUGGGGUGCAGGGUCAUCACCUUCUGAGCCGGGCCCCCUGGCUUCAUCUGAGUCAGCGUGUCUGGGUUGCCUAGUAGUCUGCUACCCACUCAGAGGGGGCCCUGGGUUGCUGCAGGAGGCACUGCCCUGGGGAGGACCCCGUGGGGCUGGCGGGGUCAUUGUCCCUUACCAGUGCGUGGUGACUGCAGAUGUGCCAGGGCCGGGUGGGGACGUGCUGGCUGUUUUGUGGGGCCUCACGGGCUGAGUGAACUUGGGCAGGUUUCCUCCCUGUUCUGAGCCUCCUCCUCACCCUGGGAGGAGGGAAUUCGAAUAUGUGAAGGUCCCUUUCUGUCCUUAAGAGCCCAGGAGAAUAGGGAGCCAGGAAAUGGCCUGGCUGUUGGCCAGUUCUGUGCCCAUAUCCCCAGGCUGCCAGGCAGCGGUGAACCAGGGGGCAGGUCGUGCCCUCAGCUCUGGGGGAGGCUACCCCCAGGGAACCUGCCUGCCCCCAGCCACCUCCACGCGGCCGCUCCCCUCCCCUCCCACCACUGAGAAGCAGAGCCCGCCCUGGGCCUCUCAGUCUCUCCACCCUCCGCUCCCACCUGAAGACUUGCCCUGUGCUCCUGGGUUUGGGGUCAGCCUGUGUUAUGGAAACCACUCAAGACCAGGAGUCGAAACGCUCAGAUUCCAGUCUGCCUCUGCCCCCGUGAGCCUGCGCCCGGCCAGUUACUGGACCCGACUUUGGUUUCCCGUGGACACAAUGGUGGGGUUUGUGUGCGUUCCUGCUUCUCCACCUGGAGCCCCCGCCGGGUUUCUUUGUGUCAAAUAUUCAUCAGUCAGUUUUAACCUCUGAGUUUCUGGCUCAGGAAGUUUGAAGCAAGGUCCAGACGAAAGAUAUCUGGGCAAAAGCAGCCGUAUUGGGGAAGCUGAAGGGCUUGCUGGCUCUGGGCUACGGGGGUUCCCUAAGCCACCCUCGCUCCGUCUGUAACUCACCCGACACCCGACUGGCAGGCGGGCCCGUCAGGGCCACGCCCCCACAUUUGGAUGUUUCGCUGUGAGACUCAGCCUGCUGUCAGAGACCUCUGCCUCCUACCUAGGCUGCAGGUGCACGUGGACCAGUUCAUAAGUGAGACUGAGUCGGUCAUAAAAAUACCAUCUAUUUGUGUCAUUUUUUUAGAUUCCACAUAUAAGUGAUAUGAUAUGAUAUUUGUCUUUCUCUGUCUGACUUACUUCACUUAGUAUGAUCAUCUGUAGGUCCAUCCAUGUUGCUGCAAAUGGCAUGAUUUCAUUCUUUUUAUGGCUGAGUAGUACUCCAUCAUGUAUAUAUACCACAAAUGGAUUUAUUUACAAAAAAGAAAUGGAUUCAUAAGCAUAGGAAACAAAUUUAUAGUUAUCAAAGGGGAAAGGGUUGGGGAUGGAUAAAUUAGGAGUUUGGGAUUAGCAGAUACAAACUACUAUAUACAGAAUAGAUAAACAAGGUCCUACUUGCACAGGGAACUAUAUUCAAUAGCUUCAAACAACCUAUAAUGAAAAAGAAAAUGAAAGGAAUAUAUAUAUCUAACUGAAUCACUGUGCUGUACACCAGGAACUAACACAACCUUGUAAAUCAACUCUACUUCAAUAACAGUGCCGUCUGGGGCCAGCACAGAGGCAGCCCUUGUCUGGCAAACAUCUGCGGACCCCGUAACCAGGUGUCCAGGGCUGGGACCUAAAUCACCUGAGGCCUCUCCUUGAGCAUAGAGGGGCAUCCUGCUGAAGAGUCCCGGAGAGCCUCCUACUGCCUGCCUUCAUCAGCGCUGCACCUUUUUCCUCGAUAUUCUCACUGACAUCUAAGACUUUGACUUCCAGUUUUACGUUCCGGAUUCUAAAACCUUUCUACCCAACCCACAUGUCUCUGCUGAAUCCCGGACAGACAGCAUCAAAGCCCGCUGGGCACCUCGCUGCCGAGUGGCCACCCGGAGUGAAAGUUCACGUUGGAGCAUCCCAAAUGGCCAAGGGACCGUCUCUGCUCUUCUUCCAAGUGCAAAAGUUAGUUUGAUUGCAGUGGACUGACCCCUACUCCACCCUGGCUGCUCUGGACCCCAAGGCAAGCACAGUGAGGGUCUGCAAGAAGCCUUUUCUGAUUUCCUGUGUGUGUUCAUUCAGCAGAGGGACAGGGAGCAGCCCCUGCAUUCGCUCUGCCUCCAGACAGCAGCGUCUUGCCGGUGGGAGACAGGGACGCGUCAGAGUUGCUCAGGGAGCAAAAACGAUUAAAGAAAACUUGGAACCUGACUCCCACGGCUGUGUGCUUCCUCCAGGAGAACAAAAGGCACCUUCGAAGGUCAAAAUGAGGGUAUGCAUGCUGGCGGAAUCCUCGGUGUAAAGACGUGUGGAAUCCCAGGAAAACGUGCGAGGCUAUUACAUCCACAUGCUCCCAUCUCCCCCGGAAAUUAUGUUCCCUUGUGGCUGUUACUUCUAAGGCUGAGCCGCGAGGCUUGUGGCCCCAGAGCAGGAGGGAGAGGCUUCUGUGUGAGACCAAGCCUCGGUGAACUUACAUUGUUUUGGAAGUCAGGCUUUGGAGAGAAAGAAGAGAUUAUUAAAUGUUAGAUUCUCCCUUCUGCAUAUCAAGAUUUAGAUUCAAUCACAACGUUUUCCAAAGAUGAGUCUGUGAGAGGAGAGAGAGAUGGAAAACAGAGAGAGACAGAGAGACAGAGAGGACAGAGAGACACAAGAGAGACAGAUGGAAAGACGGGAGAGAGAGGGAUAUUGAGACGGAGGAGCUUAGGGCUGUCCAUUUGCCCUGGAGAAGCUGAGACCCAGGAAAGGGAGGAGGGGGGCGGGUGCACUGGGCAGGGUGGGUGGGGUGAUCGGGGACUUCUGGGAGACAGGUACCCCAGUAUCACCUCCAUCUUUUCUCAGCUCUUUGUGUGACUGGCUUGCUUUCUUUGCCUUGUCUUUAAUAUCACUUCCUUAGAGACACCUCCCCUGAUCAUCGUA